RNAcentral lists this microRNA precursor (56 nucleotides) under Podarcis lilfordi (Lilford's wall lizard). Lineage: Eukaryota; Metazoa; Chordata; Lepidosauria; Squamata; Lacertidae. The record is from RNAcentral.
UAUGUGUGUGUGUGUGUGUGUGUGUCUACACACACACACACACACAAACACACACA